UAGAUUGGCAAUUGGAACUGAAGUCCUCUGUUUAUCCAGAGAACUUGUCCGGCACAGGCAGUAGCAAUAUGAGCUUCCCUGACAUGUCCUGCCAAUCCUCCUGAAUCCUGCCCUGCCUCGGCUCUUUCGUCAAGGGGUAACAAGGCAGGUGAGUCUUGAUAGCUGUUCAGUCUUUGGCCUCU
Molecule: unclassified non-coding RNA, 182 nt
Organism: Chelonoidis abingdonii (Abingdon island giant tortoise)
Lineage: Eukaryota; Metazoa; Chordata; Testudines; Testudinidae
Source: Ensembl